Molecule: long non-coding RNA, 205 nt
Filed under: Solanum tuberosum (potato)
Lineage: Eukaryota; Viridiplantae; Streptophyta; Magnoliopsida; Solanales; Solanaceae
Description: long non-coding RNA (STUB_LNC006565)
Source: RNAcentral
UUGUAUCUAGAUCACACCUAAUUUUCUUCCCUAAAAGCUCUGACCUUGAACCUUUAUGACUGGAAUAUAUGAGGUUGAUACUGCAAAUUAUGAGGUUGAUUGUUGAAUCUCGAACCCUUUUCGGCUAGCAUUGUCAAAUGAUCAUUUCUUCCUUCCAUCAUACCUAACUUUCUCUGACUUUCUUCUUGAACUGUCAUUGCAUAAG